Molecule: unclassified non-coding RNA, 1470 nt
Filed under: uncultured Eurotiales
Lineage: Eukaryota; Fungi; Ascomycota; Eurotiomycetes; Eurotiales
Description: sequence contains 18S rRNA gene, ITS1, 5.8S rRNA gene, ITS2, 28S rRNA gene
Rfam family: Eukaryotic large subunit ribosomal RNA (bases 526-1470)
Source: RNAcentral
GGAAGGAUCAUUACCGAGUGCGGGUCCUUUGGGCCCAACCUCCCAUCCGUGUCUAUUAUACCCUGUUGCUUCGGCGGGCCCGCCGCUUGUCGGCCGCCGGGGGGGCGCCUUUGCCCCCCGGGCCCGUGCCCGCCGGAGACCCCAACACGAACACUGUCUGAAAGCGUGCAGUCUGAGUUGAUUGAAUGCAAUCAGUUAAAACUUUCAACAAUGGAUCUCUUGGUUCCGGCAUCGAUGAAGAACGCAGCGAAAUGCGAUAACUAAUGUGAAUUGCAGAAUUCAGUGAAUCAUCGAGUCUUUGAACGCACAUUGCGCCCCCUGGUAUUCCGGGGGGCAUGCCUGUCCGAGCGUCAUUGCUGCCCUCAAGCCCGGCUUGUGUGUUGGGUCGCCGUCCCCCCGGAGAGGGGGACGGGCCCGAAAGGCAGCGGCGGCACCGCGUCCGAUCCUCGAGCGUAUGGGGCUUUGUCACAUGCUCUGUAGGAUUGGCCGGCGCCUGCCGACGUUUUCCAACCAUUUUUUCCAGGUUGACCUCGGAUCAGGUAGGGAUACCCGCUGAACUUAAGCAUAUCAAUAAGCGGAGGAAAAGAAACCAACCGGGAUUGCCUCAGUAACGGCGAGUGAAGCGGCAAGAGCUCAAAUUUGAAAGCUGGCUCCUUCGGAGUCCGCAUUGUAAUUUGCAGAGGAUGCUUUGGGUGCGGCCCCCGUCUAAGUGCCCUGGAACGGGCCGUCAGAGAGGGUGAGAAUCCCGUCUUGGGCGGGGUGUCCGUGCCCGUGUAAAGCUCCUUCGACGAGUCGAGUUGUUUGGGAAUGCAGCUCUAAAUGGGUGGUAAAUUUCAUCUAAAGCUAAAUACUGGCCGGAGACCGAUAGCGCACAAGUAGAGUGAUCGAAAGAUGAAAAGCACUUUGAAAAGAGAGUUAAACAGCACGUGAAAUUGUUGAAAGGGAAGCGCUUGCGACCAGACUCGCCCGCGGGGUUCAGCCGGCAUUCGUGCCGGUGUACUUCCCCGUGGGCGGGCCAGCGUCGGUUUGGGCGGCCGGUCAAAGGCCCCUGGAAUGUAGUACCCUCCGGGGUACCUUAUAGCCAGGGGUGCAAUGCGGCCAGCCUGGACCGAGGAACGCGCUUCGGCACGGACGCUGGCAUAAUGGUCGUAAACGACCCGUCUUGAAACACGGACCAAGGAGUCUAACAUCUACGCGAGUGUUCGGGUGUCAAACCCGUGCGCGCAGUGAAAGCGAACGGAGGUGGGAGCCCCCUCGCGGGGCGCACCAUCGACCGAUCCUGAUGUCUUCGGAUGGAUUUGAGUAAGAGCGUAAAUGUGGGGACCCGAAAGAUGGUGAACUAUGCCUGAAUAGGGCGAAGCCAGAGGAAACUCUGGUGGAGGCUCGCAGCGGUUCUGACGUGCAAAUCGAUCGUCAAAUUUGGGUAUAGGGGCGAAAGACUAAUCGAACCAUCUAGUAGCUGGUUCCUGC